AACGAACGCUGGCGGCAUGCCUAACACAUGCAAGUCGAACGAGACCUUCGGGUCUAGUGGCGCACGGGUGCGUAACGCGUGGGAAUCUACCCUUAGGUUCGGAAUAACUCAGGGAAACUUGAGCUAAUACCGGAUGAUGACUUCGGUCCAAAGAUUUAUCGCCUAAGGAUGAGCCCGCGUAGGAUUAGCUAGUUGGUGAGGUAAAGGCUCACCAAGGCUACGAUCCUUAGCUGGCUGAGAGGAUGAUCAGCCACACUGGGACUGAGACACGGCCCAGACUCCUACGGGAGGCAGCAGUGGGGAAUAUUGGACAAUGGGCGAAAGCCUGAUCCAGCAAUGCCGCGUGAGUGAUGAA
This 355-nucleotide ribosomal RNA is filed under the name uncultured bacterium. Its description in RNAcentral is "bacterial SSU rRNA". It matches the Rfam family "Bacterial small subunit ribosomal RNA", at positions 29 to 412 of the family's 1533-position model. The record is from RNAcentral.